Non-coding RNA from Bos taurus (domestic cattle), 72 nucleotides. NCBI's taxonomy places the organism in Eukaryota, Metazoa, Chordata, Mammalia, Artiodactyla, Bovidae. The record is from Rfam.
AGUUCCAUGGUAUAAUGGUGAGCACUCUGGACUCUGAAUCCAGAGAUCUGAGUUCGAGUCUCAGGGGGACCU